UGUUGCCACAGCAAUAUACAAGACGUAAGUAACCAAGACCUUGCAGUGGUUUUUUCGCCUCUUUUUAAUUAAAUUGAUAAAAAUAUUAAUAUUUUAUUAAUGUUUUAUUUUUUCUUUUUUACAGCUCCUCGCUGGCAACGUGGAAAUAAAAAAUUUAAAAAAAGAGGCGGCGGGCAAAACCGCGGGAGAGCGGGAGAGGCCGUGGGAGAGGCCGUGGGAGAGGCCAAAACAUAUAUAUUACGUACCAAUAAAAAAGCACCUGUCCUGGGACAAAAACUCGCGCGCGUACAGUUGGCCGUGCCUCUUGAUAUAUUUUAAUUAACUGUAUUUUAACUUUUUUAAAUAAAUAUUAAGCAUUCACAUAAACACA
Long non-coding RNA from Monomorium pharaonis (pharaoh ant), 370 nucleotides. RefSeq lists it as uncharacterized. The transcript is spliced from 2 exons. The record is from RefSeq and is a predicted model, not a curated record. Lineage: Eukaryota; Metazoa; Arthropoda; Insecta; Hymenoptera; Formicidae.